AAACUCGGUUGUCUCCUCAUUUCUGGACAAAUCUUUCGCCUAUUAUUAAAGAUUUCUGUGAGGAGGCACAGUUUUGGCUGAGUCGGUGGCA
This 91-nucleotide small nuclear RNA is filed under the name Trichobilharzia regenti. RNAcentral describes it as "U5 spliceosomal RNA". It matches the Rfam family "U5 spliceosomal RNA", at positions 1 to 86 of the family's 117-position model. Rfam says of the family: U5 RNA is a component of both types of known spliceosome. The precise function of this molecule is unknown, though it is known that the 5' loop is required for splice site selection and p220 binding, and that both the 3' stem-loop and the Sm site are important for Sm protein binding and cap methylation. Lineage: Eukaryota; Metazoa; Platyhelminthes; Trematoda; Strigeidida; Schistosomatidae. The record is from Rfam by way of RNAcentral.